AGCAGCAGAGAAGUGACAAUGCCAGUGGCUCCCUUCUCAACCUCUCCACCAGAGUAGAAGAAUCCUAUAUGCCAUCCUCUGGCAGGUGAUUACUGUACAACAGGAAAAGUGGCAACAGGAGGUGACAAAAUAAAUGAUCUCACA
Long non-coding RNA from Homo sapiens (human), 144 nucleotides. RefSeq lists it as uncharacterized. The transcript has 3 exons. The record is from RefSeq and is a predicted model, not a curated record. Lineage: Eukaryota; Metazoa; Chordata; Mammalia; Primates; Hominidae.